This 84-nucleotide transfer RNA is filed under the name Oscillospiraceae bacterium. RNAcentral describes it as "tRNA-Leu". It matches the Rfam family "tRNA". From Rfam's summary of the family: Transfer RNA (tRNA) molecules are approximately 80 nucleotides in length. Their secondary structure includes four short double-helical elements and three loops (D, anti-codon, and T loops). Lineage: Bacteria; Bacillati; Bacillota; Clostridia; Eubacteriales; Oscillospiraceae. The record is from RNAcentral.
GCGGGUAUGGUGGAAUUGGCAGACGCGCAGGAUUUAGGUUCCUGUACCAAUGGUGUGUGGGUUCAAGUCCCACUACCCGCACCA